GUGGGUAUAGCUCAGUGGUAAAGCACGUGCUUAGCAUGCACAAGGUCCUGGGUUCAAUCCCCAAUACAUUUA
This 72-nucleotide transfer RNA is filed under the name Camelus bactrianus (Bactrian camel). It matches the Rfam family "tRNA". From Rfam's summary of the family: Transfer RNA (tRNA) molecules are approximately 80 nucleotides in length. Their secondary structure includes four short double-helical elements and three loops (D, anti-codon, and T loops). RNAcentral also lists the same sequence under 2 other names. The record is from Rfam by way of RNAcentral. Lineage: Eukaryota; Metazoa; Chordata; Mammalia; Artiodactyla; Camelidae.